Molecule: unclassified non-coding RNA, 234 nt
Filed under: plant metagenome
Description: partial contains small subunit ribosomal RNA, internal transcribed spacer 1, and 5.8S ribosomal RNA
Rfam family: Eukaryotic small subunit ribosomal RNA (bases 1-55)
Source: RNAcentral
GGAAGGUAAAAGUCGUAACAAGGUUUCCGUAGGUGAACCUGCGGAAGGAUCAUUCAUAAUAAAGUGUUUUAUGGCACUUUUUAAAAAUCCAUAUCCACCUUGUGUGCAAUGUUAGAUCUCGUCAAUCUUGGCGAGAUUUUUAUACAUCAACUCAUUCUUUAACUAAUUUGUCUGAAAAACAUUAUGAAUACUUAAUUCAAAAUACAACUUUCAACAACGGAUCUCUUGGCUCUC